This 1088-nucleotide long non-coding RNA is filed under the name Salmo trutta (river trout). RNAcentral describes it as "lncRNA (ENSSTUG00000035918.1)". The record is from RNAcentral. Lineage: Eukaryota; Metazoa; Chordata; Actinopteri; Salmoniformes; Salmonidae.
CAAGGCUGUGACCUAGAGAGUAGUGUGUUUGUGUGUCUUGUGUCUCUGUUUGUGUGUGUGUAUUCCUCUGUGUGUUUGUGUGUGUGUGUCCCGCUGUGUGUUUGGGUGUGUGUGUGUCUCCCGCUGUGUGUUUGUGUGUGUCAGGUCACAGGCCAAGGUCUCCUACCUGAUCCGCUCUGAGGGAAUCGGCCUGCGAGUACAUUAAGAGAUUGCGGUGGGGCGCCGAGCCGAGGCUCACUGGCUCGACUUAAAGACAUACACACAUAAUCCUGGCUGCUCUGCUCCACCUAACAAGGAUACACGUGGCAGGCGUGCCCCUGUCCUUGGGCACCCUUACCCACCCUAAAGUCACUUCAUCUGCCAACUGGAUAAAGAUAGAGAGGGGUACACAGAGACGAGAGAGAGGGGUACACAGAGACGAGAGAAAGAGGGGAUACACAGAGACGAGGGAGAGAGAGACCGACAGAUGGAGAGAGAGAGGGAAGCAGACAGUAGAGAGACGUGACAGGACAGAGGUUACCCCACACCAUCAUGCCAUCCUGCCCAGCCUGAUCACACAAAGCACAGUCAAAGCACACCAACACCUAACCAUGCACUUUAACUAUGGAGGCUUGAGAUCUGCAAGUGUAUGGUAUGUGUUUUGGUAUGCUAUAAAAUGCUACGCUACGUAAUUCCACGGUAUGUCACGUGGACUGUGUUAAUUUUGAUGUGAUAAUAAAUUGAAUUGCACAGAGACAAAACAUUCUUUGUGUUUGUAUUAUUUGAACUGUGAGUAGAUAUACACUACCAUUCAAAAGUUUGGGGUCACUUAGAAUUGUCCUUGUUUUUGAAAGAACAUCACAUUUUUUGUCCAUUCAAAUAACAUCAAAUUGAUCCGAAAUACAGUGUAGACAUUGUUAAUGUUGUAAAUGACUAUUGUGGCUGUAAAUGGCUGAUUUUUUUAUGGAAUAUCUACAUAAGCGUACAGUGGCCCAUUAUCAGCAACCAUCACUCCUGUGUUCCAAUGGCACGUUGUGUUAGCUAAUCCAAGUUUAUCAUUUAAAAGGCUAAUUUAUCAUUAGAAAACCCUUUUGCAAUUAUGUUAGCAC